AUGUGGGGCUGGACUGGGUCCGACGCAGAAACCGUCUGGAGUCCGUUAUUCUGGGUCCACUCGGAAACCAGGAAGGGGUGGGUGGGUCCCGGCUGGAUUGGGUCUGCCUUAAGCUGGACCGGCACCAGCGUGAGGCAUCCGUACUUCCUGCAAAUUAAAGGAGAAGUGUUUUUCCCACAUCAUUUCUUUUCCAGGGGAGGACAAACUUCAUUUGGCUUAACUGCAAUCCUUUGGUGUAAGUUUUCUCAGUCGUUCCAUGUCAAGGAAGAAAAAUAAUUCAGAGCAUGUAUCU
Molecule: long non-coding RNA, 292 nt
Filed under: Vulpes vulpes (red fox)
Lineage: Eukaryota; Metazoa; Chordata; Mammalia; Carnivora; Canidae
Description: lncRNA (ENSVVUG00000011457.1)
Source: RNAcentral